Molecule: ribosomal RNA, 464 nt
Filed under: uncultured bacterium
Lineage: Bacteria
Description: partial 16S ribosomal RNA
Rfam family: Bacterial small subunit ribosomal RNA
Source: RNAcentral
AUGAACGCUGGCGGCGUGCUUAACACAUGCAAGUCGAACGGAAAGGCUCCUGCUUGCAGGGGUACUCGAGUGGCGAACGGGUGAGUAACACGUGGGUGAUCUGCCCUGCACUUCGGGAUAAGCCUGGGAAACUGGGUCUAAUACCGGAUAGGACGAUGGUUUGGCUGCCAUUGUGGAAAGUUUUUCGGUGUGGGAUGAGCUCGCGGCCUAUCAGCUUGUUGGUGGGGUAAUGGCCUACCAAGGCGUCGACGGGUAGCCGGCCUGAGAGGGUGUACGGCCACAUUGGGACUGAGAUACGGCCCAGACUCCUACGGGAGGCAGCAGUGGGGAAUAUUGCACAAUGGGCGCAAGCCUGAUGCAGCGACGCCGCGUGGGGGAUGACGGCCUUCGGGUUGUAAACUCCUUUCGCUAGGGACGAAGCGUUUUGUGACGGUACCUGGAGAAGAAGCACCGGCUAACUACGU